AUUGAACGCUGGCGGCAGGCCUAACACAUGCAAGUCGAACGGUAACAGAAAGCAGCUUGCUGCUUUGCUGACGAGUGGCGGACGGGUGAGUAAUGUCUGGGAAACUGCCUGAUGGAGGGGGAUAACUACUGGAAACGGUAGCUAAUACCGCAUAACGUCGCAAGACCAAAGAGGGGGACCUUCGGGCCUCUUGCCAUCGGAUGUGCCCAGAUGGGAUUAGCUAGUAGGUGGGGUAACGGCUCACCUAGGCGACGAUCCCUAGCUGGUCUGAGAGGAUGACCAGCCACACUGGAACUGAGACACGGUCCAGACUCCUACGGGAGGCAGCAGUGGGGAAUAUUGCACAAUGGGCGCAAGCCUGUUGCAGCCAUGCCGCGUGUAUGAAGAAGGCCUUCGGGUUGUAAAGUACUUUCAGCGAUGAGGAAGGUGUUGAGGUUAAUAACCUCAGCAAUUGACGUUACUCGCAGAAGAAGCACCGGCUAACUCCGUGCCAGCAGCCGCAGUAA
RNAcentral lists this ribosomal RNA (506 nucleotides) under uncultured bacterium. RNAcentral describes it as "partial 16S ribosomal RNA". It matches the Rfam family "Bacterial small subunit ribosomal RNA", at positions 30 to 523 of the family's 1533-position model. The record is from RNAcentral.